UACGUAGGGAGCAAGCGUUGUCCGGAAUCAUUGGGCGUAAAGCGCGCGUAGGCGGCCCCGUAAGUCCGCUGUGAAAGUCAAAGGCUCAACCUUUGAAAGCCGGUGGAUACUGUGGGGCUAGAGUCCGGAAGAGGCGAGUGGAAUUCCUGGUGUAGCGGUGGAAUGCGCAGAUAUCAGGGGGAACACCAAUAGCGAAGGCAGCUCGCUGGGACGGUACUGACGCUAAGGCGCGAAAGCGUGGGGAGCAAACGGG
RNAcentral lists this ribosomal RNA (253 nucleotides) under uncultured bacterium. RNAcentral describes it as "partial 16S ribosomal RNA". It matches the Rfam family "Bacterial small subunit ribosomal RNA", at positions 524 to 776 of the family's 1533-position model. The record is from RNAcentral.